UUUAGGUUAAAGUUUAGGGUUUAAAGUUUUAUUAUUAGAGAUAGAAUUAGAGUUUAAAGUUUAUGAUUUAAAGGGAAAGAUAAAAACUUUAAACCCAAAAUAAAAUUGAGAGUUGACUUGGUUUGGUUUUUGAAUAUAUAUAUAUAUUAAAUUGAAAAAUGCGUUGAAUAAAUUGAAAUAAAAAAUUGUUUCCAAUAAUAAAAAUAUGAAAACAUUUUCUAUAACAAAUUUUCUAUACUAGAAAAAUGAGAAAUUAAACAUUUCAGGUUUUGGAUUAAGGACCUUAACCUAAAACUUAAUCUUAAACCUUAAAAUAAAUCAUAUUUUAAUCUAAGAUCACCGUUAAAUUAAACUAUAAACCCUAAAAACUUAAAACCAUGAACCUUAAAAUAAGAUCAAGGCCGGUUUAUGAGGUUUUGGUUUUAGGAUAUUAAACCCUAAAAUUAACAAUAUUUUAACUUUAAAAAAGGUUAAAACACAAAACAUUAACAAGCCCUAAAUCAUGAAUUCUAAAAUUCAUCUAAACGAUCUAAAUUUAAAACCCCAAAUUUUAAAUUAAGUUUAAUGCUUUAUGAUUUUUAAGAUUUUUGAGGUUUUGUCUUUAGGAUUCUAAACCCUAAAAUUAAUCGAUUUAUCUUAAAUUAAGUUUAAAUUAAGGUUUAUAUAUAUAGUGUCCUUAAUUCAAAUCUCAUUAUGGAUUUUUUUUAUUAAAAAAAAUAAAAACGCGAAGUUAAUCCUACAACUUUAGAAAUAAUAUAGUUUGACACCAACUUAGCAAAAAAACUUAAUAAAUUAUAUAAAUAAAAGAUAAAAUUAAAAAGAAUAGCAUUAAAAGUGGAAAUUUAUUGAGAGGGAGGUAAGAAGUUGGGAGUUAGGGAGUAACCUUUUCAUUCUUGGCACGUGUUACUAAAUGGACCUGUUCAGACACGUAGGUGCUUGAGUGUAGAAUCGCGGUUCCAAUCAUAGUUCACAAGGAUCUUGCCUUUCCAACACGAAUCGUAUCCACACAACUUUUCACAACCAAUUUCAAUUAUGAAUUUCUUCUUCUUUACUCUUAAUUUUCGAUUUUUUUUCCUGGGAACAAGAUGUUGAUGAAUGUAUAUGGAUCACUUUGAAGGAUGAUGGUACCCAUAAAAAUAAGAGCAAUUUGGUAUUUCCAAUAAUUAAGCAAUCUGAGGAACAAGACAGUCCCAAAGGGCUAAACCUACACAAACCCCUUUUCCCACAUCAUGGGUGGUAAGUGUUUUUUUUUUUUUUGGUAACUUUCUACAAGAAGCACGUGAACUUCUUAGUUUUGACAUAAACCAUGCAAAUUAUUUUAAAAUGCUAUUAGUAUUUGAGGAGGGAGGAGUGCCACACUCGUAUUGACACUAGACACCAUGGAAUUCAUUGGACACUCUCUCUUGUAACUAAAAGAAAUAGAAUUGAAAGGAGGUGAGGAAAGUUGAGGUCCAAAAUUCUUUUAAUUGUUUACUUUAAUAAUACAUCCAAUCAUAACCUUUUUAAUUCUUUAUUGAAAGAUAAAAGCUACUUUAAAUUAAUAAUAGUGAAAAAAUAAUUUUGAUAAAAAAAUAGUUAUAUCCCUAUCCGGAUUAGACACAUGGCACUUUCAAAAAAUACCGGAUGGAUAUCUGAAGGUAAACCUUCACCUCUAGAAUCAAUCAUUUGUCGUGGAGCUAUCCGUUGAUAGAAGAGAGAUCCUCCCUUCAUCUAGCCAUCUGCUUUUUAGUAUAAACACUCCUUUCAGGACUACUGGGAUCCACCUAACCUCGUAUUGCCUAAAGGAAUAACAAAAUUAAUAAACCCUGCUGUGCAUGUCCUUCACGUACUCUAUGAUUACCACCUCCUCUGUAACGACUUCUCACGUCACAUUAGCAGACAAGAGGACCUCUCUUAUAAAUAUAUUCUCAAACAAUGAGAAAGGGAUCUUCUCCCCUUAAGCAAUCCCUGACCACUUACUCCUUGCAACCAAGCUUCCUUAGCCCUCACAGCAUCUCUCUAUCCUCUUAUCUUUCUUCGGCUCUCUGCCUGUUAAGGUGAACCUACCUCCUUUAGAUCACCACAAUCACUCCCUGUCUUCCUCCUCGUUCUAUUUUGUGUCAACAAAAAAUAUUUUGAAAGAAAUUUUAGUACUAAAAAAUAAUUUUCUUUAUAUAAAAUAUUAUAUUACGUAGAAACAUUGGACAUGUCUCUCGAAUCUUUGCGUCUUACAUUCAAAGAAAUGAAGGAUUCAACAGUAUCGAAACACCCAAACUAGAGCAAGUUAGGGCUUUUUAAGAAAAAAAUUAAAAACUUAUAUGAGGCAGUGUCUUCAUAGCCUGUGAAGUUUAGUCAAACCCAGCCAUUUUUCUGUUAUCGUUUAGUAUUGCGCUAUAUAUCCCUAUAGUAUUAAAUAGUUUUAAGUUUUGCAUGAGAAUACGUGAGCCUAUUAAUGCGGAUCUGUCAUUAUUUGAGAUUUGAGAAUGAGGAUGUCUGUCCUUUUAUGCAAUGUUUAUCUGUAUUAUGUAUAGUAGGAUUAUUAAUUAUUAUCUUUAGAUUUUAUAUCAUCCACCCAUCUCCAUGUAUGGGAACCAUGGCAUUACAUAGCCAUGCCAUAUGAUGAUGAUCAUCACCAUCAGCUCCAUUCUUGCCACCAUACCAUUUCAAAGAAGCUUCAUGACUAGUUCUUGAGUAAUAAUUUCAUAUAUAUUGAUAUUUAUUAAAAUAAAUAAUGUUAUUUGGUAGGUAAGGCUAUUUAUUCUCUUCUCAUUUCUUAUUUAAAAAAUUAAUAAAUUAAUGCAUGGUAUGCCAUGCAAAUGAAUUAAAACUCAAAUGAAGAUAGCAUAGAAUAUUAGAGUAGAUGGACUAAUGUUUUCAACAAACUCAUUGCCCUCACCAACACCAUGGACCCAAUCUAUAUACAGUCAACAUUAGUUUCCCUUUUCCCUACAACAUUAUAUAUUUAAUCAUGCCAUUCAUUCAUCUAUAAAUUACUUUCUCCAUUUUUAAUAUUUAUUUCCUUUAUUCUCCAACUAAUAGUUUUAUUUAUUGUUAAUGAAAUAGAUUAUAUCGCAAUUCAUUUUAAUUAAUUUUAUUGUUUGAAACUUUUUAGUGAUGGGUGAAGCUAGAAAUUCUUUUUAAGAGGGGAAAAUUUCAAUUAUAAAGUUUUGGGAGAUCACAGUGGAAUUUUACCAUUAUACUGACUUAUAAUUUUAAAGGGAUGCGACUGGUAACCCAGUUGUUUGAACCGAAACUUAAUGAUUUGAUCAGUUCAACCGCCAACUUAACUCUUUUACAUUGUUGUACAUUAAAUAUAAACUGAUUAAUAAAUUGAACUCUGUGUGUUCACCACCUCAAGUAUGGUCUGAGUUUGGGUCACGCUAGUCGCAUUGUCAGCUAAGAAUACAAUAAUAGCAAUUAGUAAUAUGAUAAUACAUUAGUCAUUGUGGAGGGUGUUUACCUAAUGAUUCAUAUGGGAACCCAAUUUCUUCCCCUUAACAUAUUAUUCCUUUCACAUCUACAUACGUAUGCAUUGUUGGAAAAGCAUAUAUAUAUAUAUAUGUAAUUUUCGUCAACGGAAUAUAAAUUUGUGACAUAUUUAUACUUAAAAUAUCUUGUAUUUUUGUGGUUUGUAUAAGAUGUAGCAUAUUGGGUAUAGUGUUGGGCCUGUACGAAUCCUCUAUUUUUAUAUAAUAUAUUAUUGGACUACAGGUAUCUGAUUUAAUUAAAAUUUAAAGAAAACUAAUUUCUGAUAUUAUGGAUUGAUGAGAAACAUGCGUAACACAUGGGGAGAUCUGGUUUCAUCAGUCUACAAGUUAGCGCCAGCAGUAAUAUGGAAUAUCUUCUUUAUGAUUUUAAGAUCUUUAACAAAUAUAAAUAAAACCACAUUCAUUCAGGCCCAUUGGAUUUGGAUGCCAUCCUCUCAAGCCCAUGUGGUUAUUUAAAUUAGGGAUAAAUAUUAAAUUUAUACAUAUGUAAUUUGAUACAUAAACUUUGAUUAGGUGCAAUUAUGCAACGAAACAUACAGGCAAUUAUAUUAAUUCAAUUGUUUACAUUUAAAGAAAUGAAUAUAUAAAUUUAUUUCCAUAUCGGAUUAAUAUAAUUGUCUGUAUAUGCAAUAUAUCAACAUAAAAUAGUGCUAAUUCUAUGAUGUUGUCAGUUAUUUGUGAAAAUUGAAUCAAAUCAAAUUUUAAUUUCAUUUUUUUAAAACUAUUUUUAGCAUUUUACAUUUUAAUAGUUUAUGAAUCAUAAUUUCUAGUUUCUAAUUUUUUUAAUAGUUUAUUUUUGCAUGUGAAAAUUGAGAUUAAAUAAUAUAAUUGUAUUAUUAAAAAUAAUGAAAUAAAUUAAAGAUAAAUUUAAAAUUUAAAAUAAAAUCUAAUUAAAAAAUAAAUAUUAAUAUCACAAUUGUGUUCCAUCUUGAUCUUCUUCUUCAAUCUAUUAAUAUUUAAACCUGUGACCCAUGGGCAGGUUUAAUUCCAAUGCAUGUAAUAGUAUAAAGCAUAAUAAAAUAGUUAAAAUCAGGGUUAUAUGAGUAGGAUAUGCUAAUCAAUUAUAAAUUUGAUAUCAUAUAUAAUCAAUUGAUAUCAAAUUUAAUUUUUUUUUAUUUUUAUUUAUAGAUUAUGCAAAUAAUACUACAAAAUGAGCUUAUGCUUACAAAAUAAGAUUAUAAAUUUAACCCAAAAAGGAAUAUAAUAUAUCAAAUCUACACCUUGAUAAAUCAAAAGGAAAACUAAUAUAUAUGAUAAUUAAACAAAAUAAUCAAGAGAGAAAUAUAAUCACAAUGUCUAUAUUUUUUUUCUUUGUUUAUCUAAAACAAUAAAAUAAAUACAUCUAACAAAAUUUUAAAUAAUAAAGCUGAGUUAUGCACCAUUGUUUUUUGCUUGAAAUAUUCUUUCUCAUACUUGCAUAAAAUAUUUUAAAAAUUAUAUAUAUAUAUAUAUAUAUUAAGGAGGGUUAUUGACACAUGGUAUACUUUAGAGGUGAAGCUAGGGCUGGUAAGUGUCUUGCCUCCUUAAAAAUAUAAAAUUUUAGUUUAAUCUAUGUGUUUCUGCAUUUUUAAAUUUUUAAAAUUUAAAAAUUAAUUAAUUAUGUGAUAUGUACGUAUUUAUGAAGUCAACAAAGCUAAUUAUUUCAUCUGUUUUAGAGUAAUGAAUGAUUAAAAUGACCAUAUUUUUAUGAAAAGAGGUUGAUUCCAUAGUACAAACACAGUAGAACAAUGGUGUUCAGCCAAAGACAGUGGUUCCCAAUAACUAGUAUCCCAAGCAUAAGCGGUCAACCCCUCUAGAAGCAAAUUGAGGAGGGAUCAUCACCAUUCAUUUUGGAAAACAUUUGACAUUAAUGCGUAUGAUUCUCAUUACCGAAUAGCCUCCAUUUCCAUUUCCAUUGGAAACCUAGCUUACAAGAAAGGGCACAUCUCACGGAAGACCCAACCAUCACCAACCGCCAACCGAGAGACACCGGAGGAAUCCGCAACCAUGGAGCCACCCCAAACAGUUCAACCACCAGCGGCACCGACCUCAAAUCAGCAACCAUACAGUGACUGAAAAGGACGGCGAAGAUCAUGGAAACUGGCAGAACAAAACAAAGCCGAUACUUCUAGAGGCUUUGGCUCUGCCCAACAGUCCAUCAUCCGAAGCCGCAGAGAAGCGGGAACAUCAUCCGCACCGAAAACACUGAAUUGAGCGCUCCUCAGCAAAACCAACUUGGAAGAGAGAGAACACAAGCCACGAAGGCUCGGUUGAAGCCCCAAAAGGGGUUAUUAAACGAGAGGAAGGGAAAAAAAACAGAGCAGAGAAAGGGUGAGGGACGACCAAACAUUGACGGCAAGUGGUUGGUCGUCAAUAUACGAGCAAAGGAAGAAAAAAGAGAAAGUAAAAAGGAAACAACGGAUGAGGGAGAAGAAAGAAGAAAGAGAAAAAAAAACAAACGAGAAAUAAGAGGGGAAAGAAAGGGGCCCAGCGGCAGCCUUCUGGUCGGCCGUCGGCGUCUGAAAACUGGAAAAAGAGGGUGCCUCAAUAUUGCAAAAUGAGAGAGAAAAGUAGAGGGACUUAAACCGCUCGUAUAGUUUAGUUUAUUUUAUAAUUAAUUAAUAAUUAAAUGUAUUUUUUAUUUAAAAAUAUUAAACUUACAAAUAUUUUAUUUGAAAUUAAUUUAUUUUGCGAUUUCAAAAUUGGAUUUUGCAAAACGAGUUAAUUAAAUUAUUAAUCGAGAAAUUGUCAUGCCAAGUAUGAAAUUGAAGUAUCGAUUUAUUAAGUGGUUAAUUAAAAAAAAUGUUAUGAAUUGAUAGUUUGAGAUUUGAACAAGACAUUAACCAAGAAUUUAAAGUGCUAUUACACCAAGAUUAUUGAAAAUAAAUGUUAUGAAUUGAUAGUUUGAGGUCCUUAAAGAAUAAAUACAAAGUCAAAUUUUAAUUCGAUUGAGUUAAUAAUGACAGAAAUUUUGGAUAUUAAGAUUAAAAGGAGAUUUACUUGUAAAGUAUACUUUUGUUGAAUGCAAAAUAAUACCAUUUUUAUAAUUAAAUUAUCGUACAUAACUAGAGACGAUGUUGGAUUAUCGAGGGUCAAAGGCAAAAACGGGUAACGGAUAGUAAAAUUGGCUUGUGCUAGCAUAAUUGAUUUUCUUACAUAUAAAUUUUAAGUAGCUAACUUAUAAAAGUAUUAGUCAUAAAUGAUAGAAUAAAAUUGGUAUUAUCUCUUGCUGGAAUUGUUCAUAGAAAGGUUUAUUGAUAAUGGUUGAAAUUAUGAUUGUCUAAUAGAUUAUAUAUAUGUUUGUUAAUAUAUGUGUAAACGAUUCAUAAAGAAGAAUGAUGAGUUAUCAACUAGGCUUAUGCAUGUAGACUAAUGAACUAGUAUGAGAUUUGAGAUAGGUAAAUUAUGGAGGGAAAAAUUACAUUAAAUUAUGCUAAGUAUAAUAGCCUUGUAGAUACUUAUGAUAUAUAUAUAUAUAUGUGUGUACUUGCUAUGUAUUAAGACAAUGAUGAUGUAGUUGUGAUGAUGGUAUAAUGAAAGGAGUAAUGGCAUAAUGUUAAUGCUUUGUACCAUAAAUGGUAAGAUGAACAUAUGACUUGAUAUCUUGUUGAAUGUGAUUUGAUGAUGGUAUUAUCUAUGUGUAUAAAUUCAUGUUAUGAUAUGAUGAAAAACUCUAUGAAUUGAUAAUUGAAAUGAAUGCUAUAUGAAAUUAUGAUUCAAUGCAUGAAUGAUAUGUGAAAGAAUGAAAUGAAAGUAAUAUGAAAAUGUUAUAUAAUUAAUAAAUGAUAUGAGAACUUGUGUCUAUUGAUAUUAUAAAGUCCUUAUUAAACAAUCUUAGAUAGAGUUCGAGUAUAGUUGGCAUGCCAUAGGAUUCGUUAUAUGGAGAUAUUUUAGCGUCGGACAUGUCUUACUUUGAUUAUAAACCAAUGAAUGCUAAGCACGUAUUACUUCAGUUACGUACCAAUGAUUAUAGGUGGAUAUAUAUAUUUAGUGCCAGACAUGUCUUAUUUUGAUUAUAAAUUGAUGCAUACUAGGCAUGUAUUACUUCGUUAUUUACUGAAAAGAACAGGGUCAUAUUAGGUGUGAUGGUGAAUUAAUUCGUGUAUCCCACCUUGAUUCUAUGUUUGGGUAAUAAGGGCAAUAAUAUGACUGUAAGGGCCCAAAUCUAUCCGCCCCAAUAAAUAAAACAAUUAAAAAACAAAAUAAUAAGUAAAGUCUACUUACAAACCCAAAUAACCCACACAAGCCCAAAUACAUUACCCAAUCUAACCUAACCCUAAAAGCCCCAAACACCCGAAACCCAAGCCCGAAACCUUAACAAUUUAGAAACCCUAGUUGGUCCAUUGAGCCUUCGGUGCUGCUCCACGUCAGUGAGUGCGUCGCCCGAAGCCUGUCUCUCCCCUUUCACUGAAAUGGCAAGGCGCGGCUCCUCAGCGUCGUUGACCUUGCCAUGAAUACCUGGAAAGAAGAAGACAAAGAACAGAAAGCAGAAAUGGCAGAAAAAAGCAAGAAAAAGAACAAAAUAUUCUAUAAUAUAUUCAGCUAUAAAAGCCAUAACAAUGGCAUGUAUUUUUUUAAGGACAGAAAAUCGAAUACAAAGAACAAAAACAUUAAAAGAAAAAAACGAAGGUGAUUUAUUUUUUAUUUUAUUUUUUUCGAAAAGUAUAAUAAAUAAGAAAAUAAAGUUUGUUUUUUCUUUAUACCUGUGUCACUUCGUUUCCCUUCGUCAUCGAAGGUUUUCUCCGACACUGAAAACCCCAGAAUCCAUUAGAGUUUGGCCUAGGCUUCGACAAAACAAGGCGUGAAAGAUGUGCGUUGAAAAAAGAGAAGGGUUGAAAGUUUUUAAGUUUUUUUAGAAGGCAUCGCCUUCAAAUUGGGGUCAAGAGGGCUAAAAAAAGAUUUUUUUUUUUGCAACUCCAGCCACUGGAGGCGACGGCCGCCGUCGCCAAUGACCGGUGGCCAUGGCGGAACGCCAACGGCCCUAUGGCUAACCAGGGAGAUGCCCUCAAAAAAAAAGGAGAGAAAGUCUAUGUUUUUUUUAAAAAAACUGAGUAAAAAUGAAUUUUUUUUAAAAAAUUUUACAUUUAUAGGGAUCACCAAACGGUGUCGUUUUGGCCAGGUUUCAGGAGUCCCAAAAUGGCGCCGUUUCAAAGUUUGACCCGCCGACUCGACCCAGAUCCCUUAGGAUCCCUGUGUUUUCGUGGGAAGGAUCUAAUUGUCGUCGUAGUCAUUCCACCUUUAAGCCUUUUCCAAUCUGGUCCUAAUUUCUUUUUUUCCUUUCUAGAAAUUAUACCAUUUGAUCUUAAUUCACUUUUAUGUUUGGUCCUUAAACUGCUCACCCUUCGGGGAGUGAUGCGUGUAUUGUGUUGGGUUAAUUGUCCUCGCAGUCCCUAAAUUUUUGUAUCACAUUUUAAUUUAGUCCUUUAUAUCCUAUUUUUAUAUAAUUUAGACAUCAUAUUUUAUUAGAAUUUCAAUUUAAUCCUUCAUUUCCCCUUUCUUUACUUAUUUUGCAAUUCAUGCUUUAAGUUUCGCUUAAAUUUCAAUUUAAUCCCUCAUUUAGUUAAUUUUGCCUCCUUAUUUACUAUAUUAUUUAUUUUAGCACUUAAAAUUUAUGUUAUUUAUAUUUCCUUUUAUUUAUGCAUUUUUAUUUUUAUUUUUAUUUUAUCCUUGUUAUUAUUAUUAGUAUUUUAUUUAUUCAUAUUAAUAUUAUAAUACUAAUCAUGAUAUGAUUAUCACUAUUAUUAUAAAUGGAUGUUCUUAUUACUAUUAUAGUUGCAUUAUUAUUAUUUACUAGUGUGUGUGUGUGUUUUUGUUUUUUUAUUUCAUUUUUUUUACUUAUUAUUCUAAUAUCAUCAUUUCAUUUUUUACCCACAUGGCUAUUUUAUUUUAUUUUGCUAUCAUCAUACCAUGUAUCAUAUUAAAUAUAUUUAUCUGUUUUUACACUAUGCCCAAAUAAAUUAAAUAUAUAUCAUUUUAAAAGUUACAUCAAUUUACCCGACAUAUAAAAAAUAAUUAAAAUUGAGGCAAUGUUCAUUAUUUUUGGAAUUUGAGGAGUUGUGCUCUUAACUUACGGAGUAUGGUCUCUUUCUAAAAUCGAAGUAACCAAAUAUCUUAUUUAAAAAUAAAAACGAGAUUUAAGUAAGGAUCAAAUGGUGAUUAUUCUUGUUUUCGAGGAUUCAAAGCAUUGUGUCCUAACUUACGGGGCAUGAUAUUUUCUUCUCGACUAACUCGAAAUAAGGCCUUUCUGUAAAAUUUAAUUUAGUUAAGUAAUUUUAAUUAAAAAGAACAUCAUGCAAAAAAGGGGAUCGUACUUUAAAUUUUCUUUGAAUUUUCAAUUCUCAACACUAAGAUAUCAAGUAAUUGACUAGGUACCAAUUUUGGGAGUUAUGAGGGUGCUAAUCCUUCAUCAUGCGUAACCGACUCCCGAACCCACUUUCUAGAUUUUGUAGACCAAAAAUCAUCAUUUUAGUAAAUCUAACUUUUUAUUAAAAUGAUUAAAUUACAAGGUGAUCCGAUCACACCUAAUAAAAGGACUGGCAGCGACUCUAUUUUUAUUUUAAAAUAAAAAGUCGAUUUCAAAAAAAAAAAGGUUUUGACAAUGACUAUGAUAGGUAAAAGUGCCACAAAAUUCUCAAUACUAUACUUCGGAUUGCAUUUUAGCCCCUCCAAACCGACCAUCGCCAUAGAAAGAAAAACAUGAAAGCUUCUUAGGGUUUUAAACUUUCGGCUAAGAUUUGGUAAGUGCAAUUAAGUCCUUUUCUUGCAAUUCUAUGUUUUUUAUGUCAUAGGAGCUUGUUUAGCUAGCCCAUUUACCAAUUUGUAGAACUAUUAAAGUUUCUAAAAGUUUUCAUUCAUGAUUUAUUGAAGAAAUUGGCGUUAAAUUGACAGAUUUUAAGCUUAGUGUGAAAAAGGAUUAGACUGUAAAGUUUAAUUUUUAGUUUUGUACAAAAGGACUAAAGUAAAUAAAUUAUAAAAUUUAUAUAAUAAUAGAUAGUAGGGAGUCCUUAAGGGGUGUGAUUGAGAUCAGUUUUGAAACUGAAGCUCAAAAUUUCUAUUUUGGUCACUCUUCGUUAAAUUGUUGACGAAAAUGAAGACGUGGCCUUUACUUAAUUUAUAUAAUAAUACCCUUACAGCGUGUUUGGUUGGGGGAAUAGGCAUGCAUUCCCCCCCAAUUCUGCAGGCCCACCACCAAACGGGCGUUUGGUUGGCUGUAAUGUUAUUACAUCCCGAAUCAGUUCCGCCCCUAUUACCCCAAUUGGUUGUAAUAGCCAUUCCCCCCCUUCAGCGCUGAUUAGGAAUUCCAUUCCCGUUUUUUAUUUUCUAUUCCAUUUUCUGCCCUCAUCAAGCUUCAUCCUCUCCGACGUUUCCCUUCCAUAUUGCAGAGGUAAUUUUUUUGCCUUCCAUCGAUGUCUGCUUCUUCUUUUCGUACGUUUCUUUUCUUCUCUUUACAUUUAUUUUCUUUUUUUCAUUUUAUCAAGAACGAAAAAUGCUUGAAAUCGAUUUCCCUUUUCUUUCUACUCCUAACUCUACAACAGCCUAACAAGUCAUUACCAUCACUUUUUUAGCAGCUCACACGCUUUCCCUGUUUAUUUUACAGGUUAGUUUUGCUUUUGCUCAAAUCUGCAAUAUUUGUUUUUGUUCUCCUAAUUUUGAUUCUUUUCUUAUGAUUUCCAUUGGGCUUUUCUUUGACUGAUUCUAUUGCAUGUUCGAUUGAACAGAUGAAAAGUUUUUCAAUGUGGUUCUAUUACUUGUUUAUUCUAUUGCAUGUUUGACUGAUUCUAUUGUUUUCCGAAUGGCUUGUGAUUUCGACUAGUUGAGUUCUGUUUAUUUGCAUUUCUUGAAAUUUCUUAAUGUUAACAUGGAGUUCAUGUUUUGGUUUCUGUAUUAAGUUGAAGUUUUUCUUUAAAGAAGAUUGAUUAGUUGGGUGAGAGUCAAGAUUUUUAAUGUGUUAUAAUGUUCAUGUUUUGGUUUCUGUAUUAAGUUGAUGUUUUCCGUUUGUAUUUAUGAAUUAUCUCUAUUGUUGUUGUUGUUUCAUGCAUUACCAUUGGAGGUUCAGAACCCCACACCCAUAUAUGCAUGAUAUAUUCACUUUUUUUUCUUAUUUUUUUCCCUUGCUUUUGGAGGAUCAUUUGAGGUUAUGAUCCCAUACCCUUGUUCGGAUGUAUGGAAAACAUGGACAAUUCACACACACACAAAAAGAGAUGAGUUAGAGCAACAUAGGUAUAACAAAAUUGUGAGGGAUUGUUAAUCAUACACAUUCGUUUGGAACUACUUUGCUUUUGAAAGGGUUUCCCUUGUUUGUGAAGAAAUUCAAUAGGGUGUCCUGAUUUGUGAAUGAAUAUGAAAAUUUAGUUAUGAGUUGUGGUUCAUUGCGCCUACUGAAUCUUCUUACCUUGUUCUGUUAUCAAGGCAAGGAUUUUGAGUUUAAGUUUUGAGAUUUAUUAAAAUUUUCAAAAAAUAAAAUAAAAGUUUAAUGAGAUUUUUUUUAAAUAGAUGUCUAAUUAAAAUUGUUCAAAAAUUUAAAGGAACUUAAUUAAAAUUUUUAUAAAUUUUUAAGAAAAAAUAAAAAUUUACUAAAAUUUCGAGGGCUAGGCCCAUAUAAGCCUCUGUUACUGAGCUGGACUAAAGUUUCCUAUUCAGUUCUUUUUUUCCCUUCUUUUGUUUUCAUUUGUGUGUAUUAAUGCGACAGAGCUAUAAUUCCCAACCCAAUACAAAAUAAUCUGUCUUAUUAUGUUGUCAAGCGAGUAAACUAUAACGAUUUAUUGGCUUUUUUUACCUCUACAAUACAAAUAAAAGAAUUAAAUAUUAAAAUGAUAUGCCAAUAUUAUUAUUUGUUUGAAAUAAUAAUAAGGGGUGGAGGAGAGAGAGAUGGGCGGCACCACUCAGGUGCAAAAAUAUGGUCUUGACGAGUGGAGGAUGAGAGAGAGGCGGCACCAGACUGAAAUGUGAUAACUUAAAAUAUUCAGGGACUUAAUAUAUAAAAUUUUCAUUUUAAUUUACUGCUAAAAGAAACUUUUAGGGUGCCGCAUAGUGGCGACACUAAACUUCAAAAAGGUUAAAUUGCUUUAUAAGCCCUUCUUAUUUACAAUUUUCUUUAAUUCUCUUUCAACACAAAAAAAUAGAGGCUUAUUACCAAUUAGUUCAAAAAGUUUUUUCUACCAAAAAGUAUUUGUUUAAAAAAUCUGAUUCCAACUGGAAAUGAAUUUUAUUUAAUUUUCGAAAAAUAUUUUUUUUCUGUUUAAGUUAUUUUAUUCCACUGUUCAAAUAAAUUUUUUUUCUAAAAUUAUUAUAUGAAAUACUGGAUGGUCUAAAUUUAGCAACACUCUUCCCUCAGGAUCCAUUUCGGGAAAAAGAUAAUAUGCAACUUCGUGCUGUCAAUUAUAUCCUUUAUGGAAAUGGCAAACCAACUCAGAUAAUUUCUGACAUAAGUAUUCAACUAGUUCAGACUUGUAUAGUGUUGAGUUGGGACAAAGACAACAAAAGUUCUUCCACCGAAGAGGUCUUUGCUUCCUUUGUUAAAGUAAGGACAAAUGGUCUGAUUCAAGAUUUCCUAAGAAUCGAAUUAGUGAAAUAUCAUAUUUUUUUUAUAUCAGAAAAAGAAACGAUCUAUCAGGUUCAAUAUUGAUUUUUGAUAAUAGGUAAAAUUGUACCAAUAAAAAUCCGUUUUAUUCCAAUGCAAUGAUUCAACAAUCAUUUAGCUAAAAUCACAAAACUAUUCAUAUGCCCUUGAACAAAAAUAAGGAAUCUCAAUCUUUGAUAUUUUUGUCAUCAUCUAAUUGUUUUCACAUAGGCCCAUUCAACGAUGUAAAAUAUCACACUGUGAUAAAACAAUCAAUUAAAAAAUAUCAUCUAAUUCCAAGUAAGAAUUUAUUACUUUAUUUUAUUCCAACAAUUAUUUGAAAAAAAUAUUUUUCGAUAAAUAAAUAAAAUUGAUUUCCAGUUGGAAUUGAUUUUUUUACAAUAAUAUUUUUUGGUAGAAAAAACCUUUUGAGCUAAUUGGUAAUAAGCCUCUCUAUUUUUUGUGUUAAAAGGGAAUAAAAGAAAAUAGUAAAUAAGAAAGGCUUAUAAAGUAAUUUAACAUUUUUGAAGUUUGGUGCGGCCACACUCUUAGACGCAUCCUAAAAGGUUUUUUUUAGAAGUCAAUUAAAAUGGAAAAUUUAUAUAUUAGGUCCCUAAAUAUUUUAUAUAAUUACAUUUCAGUCCAAUGCCACCUCUCUCUCAUCUUCCACCAGUUAGACUGUAUUUUUGCACUAGAAAAUACUGGUGCUGCCCAUCUCUACCCUCCACCCUUAAAAAAUAAUUUUUUUUAAAUACACAUCAUUUUGUAUGAUGAUUCAAUGAGUGUAUCAAAAAAAUUACGAGUGCCGCCCAUCUCUCUCCCUCCACCCAUUGUUACUAUUUCAAACAUACUAUUUUAGUAUUUAAUUUUUUUAUUUGCAUUAUAAAGGUAAAAAAGCCCAAUUUAUUUGUCCCUUUUUAACUUUACAAAAAAAUUAUUUUAACUCAUCAUUUAAUUUUAAUUUUUUUAACUUUUAAUUUUUUUUUCAAAUAUUCCAAAAAUAGAUAGAAAGUUAAUGUUUUUUAACUUUGCCUAUGUGGCAUACAUGUGGAUUACCACAUGGAUGACACAUCAACAUUUAAUAUUUUUUUGAAUUUUUAAAAUUAAAAAAAUAAUUAGAUGUUGACAUGACAUCCAUGUGGCAAUUUAUAUGUAUGCCAUAUUAAUAAAGUUAAAAAAACUAUUAACUUUACAUUUAUUUUUGGGUGAUUUAAUAAAAAAUAUAAUUAAAAAAUUAAAUAAAAGCUAAAAUAAUUUUUUUUAUAAUUAGAGGCCAAAAAGUUAUUAUGCCUAAACUAAGCAUUACGAAUUUUCAUCAACGCUUUUGGAUUAUGGUUUGGUUUUCUAUUGUUUCAAAAUGAUGAUAUUUUUGUUUCAAAGGCAAUACUUUGUUGACGAAGAUUAGACCUGUUUAUGGAUCGAGUUACAUACUUAGACCAAAGGCUCAGCUAAAAUUUGGAAGGAUUUGGAUAAAAAUAUUAGACCUAAAAAAUGAGUUUAGACAAAAAAAAUUAGACCUAUUUAAAAUAUAGGUCGAGCUCGGGUUUGAACAAUCAAGGCCCAAGCCCGACCAGACUCAUUUUUAAGUUUAUAAUAUUUUAUAUUAUGUUAUUUUUAUAUACUAUGUAUUUAGGACGUAUUAAAAAAAUAAAUCUAUACUAAAUAUAUAAUACUACUCUAAUGUAAAUAUUAAAAUAAUGUUAAGAUCACUAUAUAAAAAUUUUCAAUAAAUAAAAAAUGUAUAAAAUUAUUAAAUAUUAAAAUAAGAUAAAUAUUUUUUUAAAAAUAAUGAGCGGGCCUAAAAUGGGCUUGAAUUAGUCUUUUGCAAAUAUGGAUGAGUUUGGAUAAAAUUUUAAACUCAUAUUUCAAGUCGGACCGUACUUGGACAGACAUAAAAUAUGUUAAUAUCAUGCUUAGAUCCGGUCCAAAUCCGACCCGACCCGGUCGAUCAACAUCUCAAAAUAAUGCGGUAACCGAGAAGGUGAAAUGUUGUCAUAAUGCUUGGACUUUUCUUUUUCUUUUAUAGGAAUUUUAUUUGGAGCGUGUGUGUGCAUAUAUAUACUUUUGUAAUGUAAACAGGAUCCUUAGUUUCCAUUAGAUACUCUGUUUUUCGAAGGAAUACAUUGAAAUUUUGAAAGUCUAUAUGCUAAGAUGUCAAGCGUGUGUUGUAAAUUUAUAAUUUUUUUAUUUAGUUUUUAAAUGGGAUAAUUUAUUUCUUGUCCCUCAAAACUUUGCAACUAGGUCCCCCUAAACUUUGCCCUCUAAAUUUAACAAUUAGAUUCGUUUUGGUCAUUGAACUUGAAAAAUAUAAAAGUUUGAUGACAUAUCACUCCUAGAUUGUAUCACUUCAUCACUUGAAAAUUAUUAAAAGGUUUAUAUAAAUGUUCAAGUGAUGAUAUGGUACAAUCUUGGAGUGUCACCUAUAGUGUUCUAAUAAUUGGACCAGUGGUUGAAUCGGUCAGAUCACUAAUUCUCAAAUCAAUCGGUUUGAUUGCUUCAACUGCUAGACCAACAAUAAUUAAUUAAUUAAUUAAAAAAUUAUUAAAUUGGUUCAACAUGUUCAAAUAUUGGUAUUUAUCCCAAUUUUCGAUUUUUAUCAAUUUUUGAGCAAUUUUUUAUUCAAUUGAUUUAACCAAUUUAUUUGGAUUGGUAUAUUGAUCGGUUGUCGGUCCAACCGACGAAUCUAGUCAUGUUCCAAGAACACUGACCACAUCACCAAAUCUUGAUGGAAUCCAAGUUCAAAGUCAAAAUGGAUCUAGUAGACAAGUUCAGGUACCAAAGUGAACGAAAAAAAGUACAGGUACCAAAGUGGACUUAGUUGCCAAGUUCAGAUACCAAAGUGAACGAAAAAAAAGUAUAGGUACCAAAGUGGACUUAGUUGCCAAGUUCAGGGGCUAAAAUUAUACUAUCCCUUUUUAAGUUAUGAAGAUGUGUUUGAGUACCAAAUUGGUAGAAUUUGUAAAUGUGGAGGGUUAAUUUUGUUGAAUUGUUUAUAAUUAAGACCAAUUAGAUAGAAUGUAUAAGCAAUUAAGGAUUAAAUGUGUUAUGAUACCAAUUAAAAAAAAGUCACAAUAUCAUUUAUGCUAACGAUUUCAUAGAGGAUGACCAAAACAAAACUGAUUGAAAAUAGUAGUGAAAAUUUUGAUUUUUUUACAGUUUGGUGACUAAAACAAAAACAUGCUAAUGGUUGAAUGACUAACAGUGUAAUUUACCCUAUUUUUUUUGAUGUAUUUAUAAUUUUGAUUCAUGAUAAAGAUGUGUUUGAGGACAAAUUUGAUAGAACUUGUAAAUGUGGUUGGUUAAUUUUUUGAAUUAUUUAGAAUUAGGAUUAAAUUGAUAGAAUGUGUAAGUAUUGAGAAUGAAAUGUGUUAUUAUACCAACUAAAAAGAUCACAUUAUCAUUUUCUUCCAAAAUAUAAAAGAUAAAAAAACUUAAUUAACAAAAUUGAUAGCUCUUGUAGUUUAGUAACCAAAUCAUAAACACAUUAAAUAGUUGAGUAACUAAUGGUUAGAUGUAUUAAUGGGCUGAGUCAAGCUCAGGCUUAGUGACGAUAUUAACAAACUUUAUGAUUAUUUAAGCCCGACCCAAUCUAAAAUAUGGGCCUACAAAUUUACCUUAGUCCACAAAUAUUUAUAAAUGGCUAAACCAAUCCUAUUUUAGCUAGGGAUGGCAACUAGUUGGUAGUCAAUAUACGAGCAAAUGAAGAAAAAAGAGAAAGUAAAAAAGAAACAAUGGAUGAGGGAGAAGAAAGAAGAAAGAGAAAAAAAACGAGAAAUAAGAGGGGAAAGAAAGGUGCCCAGCGGCAACCUUCUGGUCGGCCGUCGGCGUUUGAAAACUGGAAAAAGAGGGUGUCUCAAGAUUGCAAAAUGAGAGAGAAAAGUAGAGGGACUUAAACCGCUCGUAUAGUUUAGUUUAUUUUAUAAAUAAUUGAAUUGGUUUGUUUAGAAUAAAAACAUUUUUUUAAUAAUUAAAUGUAUUUUUUAUUUAAAAAUAUUGAACUUACAAAUAUUUUAUUUGACAUUAAUUUGUUUUUCGAUUUCAAAAUUGGAUUUUGCAAAACGAGUUAAUUAGAUUAUUAACCGAUAAAUUGUCAUUCCAAGUAUGAAAUUGAAGUAUCGAUUUAAAUUUAUAAUACUUUAUAUUAUGUUAUUUUUAUAUAUUAUGUAAUUUAGAACACAUUUAAAAAAUAAAUCUAUACUAAAUAUAUAAUACUACUCUAAUGUAAACAUUAAAAUAAUGUUAAGAUGACUGUAUAAAAAAUUUUAAUAAAUAAAAAAUGUAUAAAAUUAUUUAAUAUUAAAAUAAAAUAAGUAUUUUUUUAAAAAUAAUGAACGGGGUUAAAAUAGGCUUGAGUUAGUCUUUUGCAAAUAUGGGUGAGUUUGGGCAAAAUUUUAAACUCAUAUUUCGGGUCGGACCAUGUUUAGGCAGACAUAAAAUAUGUUAAUAUAAUGCUUAGACCCAACCCACACCCUACCCGGUCCAUCAACAUCUCAUAAUAAUACAGUCACCGAAAGGUGAAAUGUUGUGAUAGUGCUUGGACUUUUCUUUUAGACCCAGCCCAAACCCGACCCGGUCCAUCAACAUCUCAUAAUAAUACAGUCACUGAUAAGUGAAAUGUUGUGAUAAUGCUUGGACUUUUCUUUUUCUUUUAUAGGAAAUUUAUUUGGAGCGUUUUUGUGUAUAUAUAUACUUUUGUAAUGUAAACAGGAUCCUUGGUUUCCAUUAAAUACUCUGUUUUUCGAAGGAAUACACUAAAAUUUUGAAAGUCUAUAUGCUAAGAUGUCAAGCGUGUGUUGUAAAUUUAUAAUUUUUUCAUUUAGUUUUUAAAUGGGAUAAUUUAAUUUUUGCCCUCUAAACUUGGCAACUAGAUCCACUUUGGUAUCUUUACUUUUUAUUAUUCACUUUGGUACCUGAACUUAACAACUAAAUUCGUUUUGAUCAUUGCACUUGAAAAAUAUAAAAGUUUGAUGACAUAUCACUUUGAGAUUGUGUUGCAUCGUUACUUGAAAACUAAAAGGUUUAUAUAAAUAUUCAAGUGAUGACAUGGUACAAUCUUGGAGUGUCACAUAUAGUUUUCUAAUAACUAGACCAGUGGUUGAACUGGUCAGAUCACUGAUUCUCGAUUCAAUCGGUUUGAUUGCUUCAAUUGCUAGACCAACAAUAAUUAAAUGAAUAAUUCAAAAUUCAAAAAAGAUAAAAAAAAUUUAAAUUGGUUCAACAUGUUCAAAUAUUGGUAUUUAUCCUAGUUUUUUUAUUUUUAUUGAUUUUGAGCAAUUUUUUAUUCAAUUGGUUUAACCAAUUUGUUUGGAUUGGUAUAUUGGUCGGUUGCCGGUCCAACCGACCAAUCUAGUCAUGUUCCAAGAACACUGAUCACAUUACCAAAUUUUGAUGGAAUUCAAGUUCAAAGCCAAAAUGGAUCUAGUAGACAAGUUCAGGUACCAAAGUGAACGAAAAAAAAAGUACAGGUACCAAAGUGAACCUAGUUGUCAAGUUCAGGGGAUAAAACUUAUAUUAUCCCUUUUUAAGUUAUGAAGAUGUGUUUGAGUACCAAAUUGGUAGAAUUUGUAAAUGUGGAGGGUUAAUUUUGAUGAAUUGUUUAUAAUUAAGACCAAUUAGAUAGAAUGUGCAAGCAUUAAGGAUUAAAUGUGUUCUAAUACCAAUUAAAAAAAAAGCCACACUAUCGUUUAUGCUAAAGAUUUCAUGGAGGAUGACCAAAACAAAAUUGAUUGAAAAUAGUAGUGACAAAUUUUGACUUUUUUAUAGUUUGGUGACUAAAACAAAAACAUGCUAAUGGUUGAAUGACUAAUGGUGUAAUUUACCCUAAUUUUUUUUAUCUAUUUAUAAUUUUGAUUCGUGAUAAAAAUGUGUUUGAGGACAAGUUUGAUAGAGCUUGUAAAUGCGGAUGGUUAAAUUUUUUGAAUCCAACCCAAAAUAUGGGCCUACAAAUUUACCUUAGUCCACCAAUAUUUAUAAAUGGCUAAACCAAGCCUAUUUUAGCUAGGGAUGCCAAGACUAGAACCGCUUGAUGAAUUUCAUACCGAUCCACUCUGAAUUGGGAGUAUUUUUUUUUCUUUUGAAAAGUGGAUGCGAGGCAAGGAGAGGUGGAUUUUUUCUUUUAGAUAGUGGGUAUGGAGUGGUUAUGGUAAUUUAUUGUCCCACCCCGACCCGUUCCACUAUAUGAAAUUACCAUUUUAUCAUUGUAUAUAUAAAGGGUAAACUACCAAAAUAGUCAUUUUUGUUUACCUUAUGUUACAUUUUAGUCACUGAGCCAUUAAUUACCAUUAACGGUGUAACGGUAAGCUGAUGUGACACGUUAAAUCAUCAUUUCAAACAAAAAUUUUAGGUUAAUUUAUACAAUCGGUCCCCAUAUUUUUUCAUUUUAAGCAAUUUAAUUUUUUCUUUUAUGUUAUUUUAACUUUCCUUUUUUUUUCUUUUUUUUUCCAGUCUCUUUUGCUUCUCCCUCUAUUUUCCUUCCUUUUUCAUUUAUUUUAACGUAAAUUUUCUAUAUUUUCCAUUUGUUAAAACUAAUUGCUAUACUUUUAUUUUUUUUGAGCAAUUUAUAUUUUUUCGAGCAAGGCGAGCUUGUGGACUAGUUUUAACAAAUAAAAAAUAUAGAAAACUACGUUAAAAAAUGAAGAAAGGAGGAAAAUAGAUGGAGAAGUAGAAGAUAAUUAAAAAUAAAGAAAAAGAAAGAAAGUUAAAAAAACAUAAAAGAAAAUAAUUAAAUUGCUUAAAAUAAAAAAAAUAUAGGGACCAAUUAUUGAAUUUAACCAAAAAUUUUCGUUUGAAAUUAUGAUUUAACGUGCCAAGUCAGUUUACCGUUACACCGUUAAAGGCAACCAAUGGCUAAGUGACUAAAAUGUUACAACGCUAUAACGUAAGUGACUAAAACGUAACAUUUCAAACAUAAAUGACUAAAAUGUAACCUGAGGCAAACAAAAAUGACUAUUUUAAUAGUUUACCCUAUAUAUAAAUUAUUAAAAGGGUGAAAAUGUAAUAACAUAAUAUAGAAAAAAUUCAUAUAUUUUAUGUUUAAAUAUAUUUUAUGAAAAAUUAUGUCUAAAUAUUUACUUGACUUUUAAAAAAUUAAAAAUAUUAAAAAUAAAUAGCAAAAUUUAAAUUGAAGCGGAGUGCGGUAGGGUAGGGGAUGAAUGUAUCCAACAUACAUGAAGAUAGUAAUAGUUUCCAAGAUUAUACAUUUAUAGUAGAGUAGGAUGGGUGGUGGAACAAAUUGUGCCAACUGUGAAGCAGUAAUGGAUGUAGUAAUAUUCGCCCUCACCUUGCUCUAUUACCAUCCAUAAUUUUAGCCUUACUCGUAUUAUUUUUAAUUUUUUUAAAAAUAUAUUAUUUUAAUUUUAAUAUUUCACAAAUUUAAAUAUUUUUUCAUUUAUUAAAAAAAUUAUAUAUAAACAUCUAAACAUUUUAUUUAGUUGACGUGAAUAUCUUAUUUAAUUUACACUUACAAAAUAAAAUUAAAAUACACAUAAGGUAAAUAAAUUUAAAAAAAACAAAAUAAAUAAAUAAUAAAUUAAUAUUACGUAACAUAUUAAUUUAAAUUAUUAAUUAUCUUAAAUAAAUUAAAACUCUAAUUAUCCUAAUUUAAUUUAAAUCAUGAUCUAAUUUAACAUGUAUAAAAUAAUAAAAUAAUAAUUAGAAGACAACAAAAACUAGAAAUAUGAGAAUCAUGUAAAACCCAAUAUUAUCUAUCAAAUUUGAGAGGUCAAAACUAGAAAUUAAAUUAUUAUCUAUUUUAUUUCUAAUGUUCACUCAAAUUUGAAUUACAACUAAUAGAUAUACAUAAUCACAUUCCAAAUCAAAUAAAGCUAUUAAUAAUAUUUCUUUUAAAUAAAUAUUAAUAUUCACAUAUUUUAGAAUUACAAAUUGUUCGUGCAUGGUACGCGUAAGAAAACUAAUUCAUAUAUAUUACUCUAGUCAGCCAUCUUUAUAACAACAAUUCUAUAACUAUCAAAUUUUUAGUAAAACUGAUUUUUUUUUAUGUUUUAUUUUAAUCAUUUUUAAUAACUUUUCACUUAUAAUAGUAAUGGCCAUAGUUAUGAACUACAUUCUUUAUUAAAUUAUUUUUCUAUAGAAAAUUUUAGUUAUUUCAUGCAAGCCUAUUAAUUAUAAUUUAUUAAAUAAAAUGAUCUUAAUUAAAAUAUUUAAAUUUCACAUGAAAAAUCUAUUUAAAUAAUCUUUUUUCUGUGAAAAUGACUGAUAUUAAUAUUAACAGGCUCAAAAGGAGUAGCUAAAAGGCCACCAAAACAGACAAAAAAGAAAAUCACAGCUGUCUAAUAAAAAGAAAAUUAAAAACUACGCCUAGAAAGUAACGAAACAUCAAUAAGCAGAAAACGCGUGGGCCUGCAACAAAACUUUUCAAUCUCCAUUAUCAGCCACAGCAGGGCUCCAUUUCCUUCGGUAUUAUCGAUCAAAGACUGAGAGCCAGCAACGCUUUGCAAACAAUAUUAGAGAUUCAAUGAACCUUCUUUAACUCAAAGCGAACAUAUGGAACUUAGGUCCGUUGGCACCAUCGUAACCAGUCUUCCUCCACCACCAGUCGCACAGUCUCUGGUAUUCCAGUAACCCAGGCCCCACACACUUUCCGAUGCCGACCUUCCACUGCCAAAAUAAGGGCUGCAGCGUUAAGCGGACGGUUCACAAACUUGUAAGAGACUUCAUCAAAGCCCUGGCGCAAUCUAUGAAUAUUAUGAACAAUCGACCUAAUAAUCGGUCUAUCUUCCUCAUUUUUAAUCAGUUUUUUAAUGACUGUCAGGGAGUCCCUUUUCACAAUCAACCGUCGAAAGCCCUUCAAUUUUGCGAGGAUCAGCGCUCUUUCACAAGCUCGUGCUUCCGCCACGAAUGCAUUGUCCACACCUUCCACCAGAUAAGUAACUGCUUCUAUAACUUCCCCUCUGUGAUUUCUGGCUAAGAUUGCUAUUGUCGCAAUUAUUUCCUGGAAUAUACGACGCAUCAAAAUUAAUUUUAAUAAAACCAUAGUCAGGAGGCCUCCAGACUUCAUUUCUCAUAAAAGCAGUAGAAACACAUAGAUUCUCACGAACAAGCCAUAAAUCUCGCUCAUAGCCCCUGAUAAAUCCCAAUAGUUGUGGCAUAGAAAGCUUAAUCCCCUCAUGAACCAACUUAUUUCUGUGAAACCAAAAACACCAAAGAGAUAAAGCAAUAAACCUUUUUUGUCGACCUUCUGCUUCAAGAUAUGCUUUAACAAAAUUAGCCUUAUAAUCCAGGGAAUCAUCCAAAGGGGGAAUUUGAACUUGCAACGAUGUCCAUAUAUUUUAAAGGACCCUACAAGACCCUAACAAAUGCGCUGUGGUUUCUAGAUCUUCCUUACACAGUGGGCAUACAACCUCCUCACAUAGUGUUCGGCGUGCCAAGUUCCCAUAGUGUGGCACCAUGUUAUUGAACAAUCUCCAAACAUGUAUUUUUAUUUUCUCUGGAAUAUGUAAAACCCAAAGAUCCAUGUAAAAAAUUUUGUAUUCUUCAUUUGUAGAGGACAUGUGUAGAUUGCUCUGUAAAUAAUCUGUAAUAAGAACUCGGCACCCACUCCUGACAGUAUACUCACCUGAGCCUUCAUACUUCCAUACCAACAUAUCCUCUGGUCGGCUUUCAGAGAUGGGAAUGGCAAAGAUUCGAUUAACAGUGUCAUCAUCCACUAGAUUGUGAGUCAACUCUCUAUUACAGGUACUGUCUUCUUCAUUCAUUAACUGAUUCACUGUUGACCAAGGAGGCUUAAUUUCAAUAACCAGGAUUCUGUUAUUCUCUCUUCCAAGCAACCAGGGGUCAUUCCAAAUGUUGAUACUUGCACCAUUUCCCACACGCCACAAGAUUCCAUCACUAAUCAGGUCCCGCGCACUACAAAUACUCCUCUAGGUAAAUGAAGGGUAAGAACCAACCUUUGCUGUUAGUAUAGUAGAAAGAGGGAAAUAACGGGCUUUUAAAACCUUGGCUAAUAAACAAUGGGGUUGGGUUAAAAUACGCCACUCCUGCUUCGCUAAAAGGGCCUUAUUAAACAAGAAUAAAUUUUUAAAUCGCAGCCCUCCAAAACUUUUCGGUUUACACAGAACAUCCAACGAACUCCAAUAAAUCCCCUUCGAUGUUUUAUUAUUCAUCCACCAGAAUCGAUUCAUUAUUCCUUCCAAUGUUUUACAUAAUGACUUUGGCAAUAAAAAACACUGCAUAGCAUAAAUUGAAGUUGCCUGCAAAAUCGAUUUAAUGAAAACCUCCUUAUCCCCCAUUGAAAGAUAACACAUACUCCACCCCUCCACCCGUUUUCUGAAUCGGUCCACAAAGUUAGCAAAAGCCCACAUUUUCCUCCUACCCACCAUCAUAGGCAAACCGAGAUACUUUUCAGGAUUUGAGGCCAGACGUACCCCUAAUAAAUUAACAAUAUCCUCAUGAACACUAGAGACGACAUUUACACCGAAAUAAAUGAGGGAUUUUUCAAAAUUCACUCUCUGCCCCGAGACCAUCUCAUAUUUUUGGAUAAUAGCCCGAACCACUUCAGCUCCUUCACAGGAGGCAUCACCAAAAAGAAUGCAAUUAUCCGCAAAAAAUAAGUGGUUGACCGAAAAAUUCUCUCUACCUAUAGGUGCCCCCAUCAUCAUCCCUUUAGUUUUAGCUUCCUGAAUGAGCAGCGAAAACCCUUCAGCACAAAUCAAGAAUAAAUAAGGACUAAGAGGGUCUCCUUGUCUGAGUCCUCUCGAUGGUGUGAACCAGUCCCCGCUAGCUCCAUUAAUACUAACAGAGUACGUGACAGAGCAUACACAACACAUGAUAAGAACGAUCCAAUCCUCAUGAAAACCCAGGUGCUUCAUCAUACCUGCCAAAAAAUCCCAUUCCACACGAUCAUACGCUUUCCUCAUAUCUAGUUUAAGCGCAAAAUUGCCUUUCUUACCUCUCUUUUUCAUUUUUAGGGAAUAAAGUAUCUCAUAAGCAAUCAGUACAUUAUCAGAAUAAGCCUACCUAGAAUAAAGGCCCCUUGAGCUUCAUUAAUACAAGACCCCAGUGUCUCGCUCAUCCUCAAUACCAACACUUUUGCUAUAAUUUUGUAAAUGACAUUACAAAGGCUGAUAGGCCUAAAAUGAGUCAUGUUACUCGGUUUUUCAACCUUUGGAAUCAGGAUAAUGCACGUUUUGUUAAUAACACUCAAAUCCUCUUGUCUCUGUAGAACGAAUAAGCAAAAGCGGGUAACCUCAAGCCCAACAAUGUGCCAAUAACACUGAAAGAAGAGGGUCGAAAACCCAUCCAACCUAGGGGCUUUCAAAAGCGCCAAGGAUUUGACUGCAAAGGCAAUGUCCUCCUCCGUAAAUUGUCUUAAGAGCCUUUCAUUCAUACUACUAGUAACUUUUUCCUCUACUAAGCUAAACAAAUGCUCAUCCGAACCUGACUCUGAAGUAAAGAAAAGCUUACCAAAAUAGUCAGAAGCUAUUUGGAGGAACUCCUCAGUGGAAUUAAUACUUCUCCCAGCUCCAUCUUCCAGUUCAGAAAUUCUACAACGAAAGUGACGUUGGACAGCUACCUUAUGAAAAAAGCUGGUAUUACGAUCCUCAUUCUUUAGCCAAUUCACCCGCGCACGCUGCUCCCAAAAUAAUUCCUCCUUUUCAGCUUCUAAAUUAAGCCCCAAUUGGACCUUCAUAAUCUCAGCUAGAACUUCAUCUGACGGAUCUUGAGUGUAAAGAUUCAUUAAUCUGUCUUCUAAACGGAGCCGAUUCCUCCACUCCUUAAUAUUAUUCACGUUGCUCCACUUUAGUAUUUGAGAACCUAUUUUCUCCAACUUACUCAGUACACCUCCAGAUUCCUCUUCCCACCAUCUCCUAAUCAUACCUUCAAACGCCUCUAAACACCACUUAGCCUCAAAUUGAAAAGACUUCUCAUACUUGUUCUGACGGUUCCAUACUCCCCCUAGAGUAUCCAGAAGAAGAGGGCAAUGGUCAGAAAACGAGUGACUCAAAUGUUCCAGACGAUAUCCAGGAAAAGUAUUCAUCCAGCUUAAUGAAGCAACACUACGAUCCAGACGUUCCCUUAUAUUAGUCGAUGCAAAUUGUCCUCGUUCCCAUGUGAACCAUCUGCCAAUAAAGCCUAAAUCAUUAAGGCAACAAUCUUCGAGAACCCCGCGAAAAUCCCUCAUUUGUCCAAUUGGUUUGAGGCGACCACCAUUCUUCUCAAAGGAAUCCAUAAUUUCGUUGAAAUCCCCCUGAUCUUGAUCUUGAUGCAACUGGCGUAGCAAAUUCCACGAAUCACCUCUGCGUCUUCCAUCUGGAUGCCCAUAGAAAGCAGUGAACCUCCAAACAUUUUCACACUCAUUAUCAUGAACUUCGACACCAAUGUGAUAGGAAGAGAAACUUUUAAGCUUGACCAACAUAUUUCCCUUCCAACCCAACGACAAACCCCAUUUCGUACCAACUAGACUAAUAUCGAUGCCAUUCUCAAAACCGCACUUUAAUCUUACCAACUCUAUUUUCUUUUAACAUAAUUUCGUCUCUGUAAGAAACAAAAUUCGGGGAUUAUUGGCUCUUAACUUGUUUUUGAGCCUUAUAUCUGUUCGUGGUCUCCCCAAACCGCGAACGUUCCAACUUAGGAUUUUCAUCGAGCCCAGCUGCUCUAAUUUUCGGAGCUAGCCGAAACAUUCAUAGAUCCAGAUCCCACAUUAGCAUCCAACAGAACACGUGACCUCUCCACUAUUCGCUGUCGUUUUUUCCCCUCAGACAACUCUAAUGGCUCAUUUUCCUCCUCCAAAUCCAACUCCAUUUCCCCCUGAACGAUCCCAUUUGUAGUCAAAUUAUCUAUACACCAAUCUCGCUUCUUAACAAUUCUACCACCGCAUUGAAUUGGAUCAGGACCUAAAUGAAUUAGAUUAGGAUUCAAGUUCCUACCAGAAUCCCUUGCAUUACCAUACAUGAUGCCUGCCAAAUUUUCCUCACUAUACGGAGAUCCAUCUAUUGCCCGCAGCCACCUACUUACCGCCAUAUUCCGACGCCUGACCACAGUACGCAGCGAUAAAUCCCAGCCAAAGACUAUUUUUGACGGUUCAAUAGUCAGUCUAACAGGGUAGUAACUUUCCCCGUGCCCCAGUUUUCCGCAAAUAAAGCAAAAUAAACUUAAUUUCUCAUACUUAAAUCUAGCAUAAACCACCAUAGAUUUCCCUAUCAAAAUUUUCUUUUUUCGCUUCAACGGGGUAGCAACAUUUAAACAGAUACGAAUACGCAUAUAAUGUUGAAUUCCCAAAGUCGGGAUGGAUGCAUCAUACUCAAUAUACUUGCCACAGAAAUCACCAAACUGUUUGGCCAUCGAGACACUCAUCAGUCCCGGCGGUAAGUCGUGAACUUGAAUCCAAAACUCCGUGUGAUUUAACUCCAUCACCGCUGGGUUCCCUUCGGCAUGUAUUUUUUGCAGAAUAAGUAAAUGAUUAUUAAAAAAUCAUGGAGCCGCCGUAACAACCUUUUCAAUAUCGAUCUCAUGAAAAAAUUGGAAAAGAUACCGUUUUUCUCCUAUCUCUGUUAUACAAAUCCUUCCUAUUGGGUGCCAAAGAUCUGCCAAAGUGUUGCGUAAUGACGGGAAAUGAACAACACUGUCUGUUAGGCACCGUCCCACCAGACAUAGUUGAUUAACACGACCCACCGCUCCUUCAUCCUCUUGAAAAGCAUCUUUUUCGUCAUCCAUCAAAUUCAAAUUCUCCAUUGCUUCUUCCAUCUCACCUUCUGCACCUUUUCAACCGAAUAGAAAGAGACUUAAUUCAUAGAAUGAUCAGAUCUGCAACUAAAAAAUUGAAGAAUCUUAGAUGCAGAAGAAAGAAACGUGCCAAUACGGCUGACAGAAUCCCGUGCCAAUACGACAGACAAAACCUAUACUUUGAUUAGUUUUUUAUUAGAUUCAUUGUAUAAUUUUUUAAAAUACUAGAUUGUAUCUAUUUAAAUAAUCUUCAAUGAGUGGAAUUAAAAACAUCAAUUCAAUAAACUAUUAACUUCCUCAAUUAAAUAUGCUAUUAUGAAUUUGAAACAUAGUAAAUUUAUAAAUUGAUUACUUGAAUUUAAUAACUCAUGAUAAAUUAAUUAAUUUAAUUGAACUUGUUAGAUCUAUAAAUUUCAUGAUUAAUCAUGUGAAAUAAUGUAAAAUAAAAAAUACAUAAAAACAUUAAUUUUAUUGAUUUGAUUUCCACUCUCCUUUUUAACAUAACACACUUUCUUUUUUUAAUGGAAAUUCAUGAUACAAAUUAUAUUGUAAGUUUAUACCUAUUAUCAUGCUGAUGUAUGAGAAUCAUCUCUCUAUAACAGAUAAAGUCUUAGUAGACAAGUGAAACUGUUAAAGAGAGAGUUAAAUAUAUAAAUUUAAUUUUAUGUGUUAUAAAUUAUAUAAUGUAUAAAAAUAAUACAAUCUAAUAUGUUACAAAAUUAAAAAACAAUAAACUUAAUCAAAAUUUUCAAAAGAGUUUAAUUUUUUUGCCCAAACCCACUUAGGGUGAAUUUGGAUGGACAGUGCGUUUACAUGCGGUUAAUGUAAAAACAACGGUAGCGGUGAGAUUAGAUACUGUAGCAAUACUAUAGCAUGAGACAAAAAAUAAACUAAACGCACCGCACCGCACCACACCCAAUCGUCCAUCCAAACCCACCCUAAAAGAGUGUUAGUAUAAGAGAUGGUGAGAUUUGGACUGAUAGUUGGAUCCAUUUACCAUAAUUUUUAAGUGAAGAAGAAGGAAAAAAUUCAGGGCAAGAGUGGGCUAUGGUUUAAAGUGUACGUGAGAGGGAAAGCGUGGCACGUGGGAGAUUUAAAAAAUCUAGGGUUUUGGGGCAGUGACGGGCAGGAGAAAAGCCCCGCUGCCCGUUUUCCUCAGUGCUGUGUUUUCAUCCCGCUUCCUUCCCAUCAUUCGAAAUUGAUUAUAUAAAUACUCAAAUCAUCAAAUCUAUCUCUUCAAUCCAUAGCUCCCCCAUUUCUUCGCCGAUUCUCUCUCUCUCUCGCUCUCUUUUCAAUUAUUUCCUCUCAAUCUUUUUUAUCUUUGGGUAACCGCAAGCCAAAAAACACACAGUCACGCACACACUACACUAGGAAGAGAGUUUUCGUGAGAGAGAGAAACCCUAAGUUUUCUCUGCCGUUUCUGUUUUUGUGAUUUUGAAAUCCCCUGCUUGGAGACUCAUUUCAGGUAACAAUCUUUGCUUCAACUUUGUCUUUGCCUUUUCAUCUCUGUUUUAGUAUCAGAUCUAUGCUUCUUUACAUGUAUUUCAGUGGGUUUUUCUUAGGGUUUUUGGUUCAGCUUUAGAAAUCACUGUUUCGUUCCGUCUUUCAAAUCUAUGGAUCUCGGUCUGGUUUUUCUUUUUGUUUGUUUAUCGUCUACUAUAUGUUGUUCUUUAUUUUUGGAUUGUUUGUUUCCCUCUGUUUAAGAUUAUAGUUUUUGUGUUACGGUAUAGUUCUUUUAAAUCUUUGCUUAGCAGAAUACUGUUCGAUUUAUGUGAUUGUGCAAACGGAAAUUGAAGAACUUUUUGGUUUAUUAAAAAAGACCCUUGAAAGUCUAAUUUGUAAUGUUUUUAUUUCGUCUUAUACCUUGAACUUCGAAAGCAAAUAAUAGAACAACCCCAUUUCAAGGGGGGUAAUGAUCGGGAAAAUUACCUUUGGACACAAAAGUUACUGCAUGCACUCGAAAUCUGAAUAUUCUUAUUAAGUAUAGGGAUUUAAUUGCGUUUUAGGUGAAAGCAUGGUUUCACUGUUAAAGCGAGUUGUCACUGUUAGGCCUGCCUAUCAACUUCAGUGGUGCUCGACUCUAUGUUUAACUUAGUAAAUGCUGGUCUAUAUUUGUUGAAUAACUUGCAUUGAUCUAUAUUUGCUGGACAACUUGUGUGGUUUGGUAAGCUUAUUCCAUCAAUAUCUUCUCCAAGGGUCCCAUCAUGCUUAGAGCCUUUUGUGACCUUUUGACCUUGUUCAAUUAUAACUAGCUACAAUCUCUAUUAAUGGAUUUGUAUCCUUGUCAUCAAUGCUGAUUAGUGUUUUAUGUUUAUCAAUUGCAGUGUAGUUAAAAUGGCCAUGGAGAUCACUCAGUUUCUGCUGGCUGCCCAAUCGGCAGAUGCAAAAGUUCGGACAGAGGCAGAGGCUAGCCUUAGGCAGUUCCAGGAGCAGAACAUGCCUGUUUUCCUUCUUUCAUUGUCAGUUGAGCUUUCAAAUGAUGACAAACCUGUUGAGUCCCGUAGAUUGGCUGGUAUUGUGCUUAAGAAUUCAUUAGAUGCCAAAGAUGCUAUUAGGAAGGAACAACUCGUUCAACAAUGGAUGGCAAUCGACAUUUCUAUUAAGUCUCAAAUCAAAGACUCUCUCUUGAGGACCCUUGGUUCAUCUGUACCUGAGGCAAGGCACACUGCUGCUCAAGUUAUUGCAAAAAUCGCUUCAAUUGAGAUUCCUCGGAAGCAGUGGCCUGAACUCAUUGGGUCAUUGCUGAACAAUAUGACCCAGAAAGACAAGCCUGCAGCCUUGAAACAAGCUACCUUGGAAGCACUGGGAUAUGUUUGUGAAGAAAUAUCUCAUCAGGACCUCGUGCAAGAUGAAGUCAAUGCUGUUCUCACUGCUGUUGUUCAAGGGAUGAACCUAGCUGAACAUGGUCCCGAAGUUCGGCUUGCAGCAACCAAGGCUCUGUAUAAUGCUUUAGAGUUUGCACAGACCAACUUUGAGAAUGAGAUGGAGCGGAAUUACAUCAUGAAGGUUGUAUGUGACACUGCCAUGUCCAAAGAGGUGGAAAUCAGGCAGGCUGCUUUUGAGUGUCUUGUUGCAAUAGCGUCAGCAUAUUAUGAGGUGCUUGAGCCUUACAUGCAAACCCUAUUUCAGCUUACAUCAAAUGCUGUAAAGGGCGAUGAAGAGACUGUUGCUCUCCAAGCAAUUGAGUUCUGGAGCUCUAUCUGUGAUGAAGAGAUUGAACUUCAGGAGUUUGAGAGUCCUGAAAGUGGUGAUUCUGGACCUCCACAUUCGGGUUUCAUCGAGAAGGCUUUACCGUCUCUCGUUCCCUUGUUGUUGGAAACUUUACUGAAGCAGGAAGAGGAUCAAGACCAGGAUGAUACAAUCUGGAAUAUAUCUAUGGCUGGUGGGACUUGUCUGGGUCUUGUUGCCAGAACGGUUGGAGAUGCUAUAGUGCCUCUUGUAAUGCCAUUUGUGGAAUCUAACAUUUUGAAGCCAGAUUGGCGUUGUAGAGAGGCAGCAACUUAUGCAUUUGGAUCUAUUCUUGAAGGUCCAACUGUUGAGAAGCUCUCUCCUUUGGUACAGGCGGGUCUGGACUUUUUGCUCAAUGCUAUGAAGGAUGGGAACAACCAUGUGAAAGACACAACUGCUUGGACUCUUAGUCGCAUUUUUGAGUUGCUGCACAGUCCAGCUUGUGGAUUUUCUAUCAUUUCCCCUGAGAACCUCAAACGAGUUGUGGGUGUGUUGUUAGAGAGCAUUAAAGAUGCUCCCAAUGUAGCUGAGAAAGUUUGUGGGGCAAUCUAUUACCUUGUCCAAGGCUAUGAGGAUGCAGGACCUAGCGCCUCUCUUUGGUCACCAUAUCUCACUGACAUAAUUAGUUGUCUGAUUUCAACUGCUGAUCGGACAGAUGGGGGUGACUCCAAGCUCAGGUCUUCUGCUUAUGAAACCUUGAAUGAAGUUGUGAGAUGUUCUAACAUUGCUGAAACAUCUUCUAUUAUAGCACAGCUACUACCAGUCAUCAUGAAUAAGUUGGGCCAGACUAUGGAUAUUCAGAUUGUGUCAUCAGAUGACAGGGAAAAGCAAGGGGACUUGCAAGCCUCUCUUUGUGGUGUUUUGCAGGUUAUCAUCCAGAAACUUAGUAGCACAGAUGAAACCAAAACAAUCAUACUUCAGGCAGCUGAUCAGAUCAUGCUUCUGUUCCUCAAGGUGUUUGGUUGCCGUAGCUCUACUGUUCACGAGGAAGCAAUGCUUGCAAUAGGUGCUCUUGCCUAUGCCACUGGAUCUCAGUUUGAGAAGUACAUGCCUGAGUUCUAUAAGUAUCUUGAGAUGGGACUGCAGAAUUUUGAGGAAUACCAGGUUUGUGGAAUCACAGUUGGGGUUGUUGGUGAUAUCUGCCGUGCCUUGGACGACAAGGUCUUACCUUAUUGUGAUGGCAUCAUGGGUCUUCUUUUAAAGGAUCUUGCUAGUUCAGAACUUCACCGGUCUGUAAAGCCUCCCAUAUUCUCUUGCUUUGGGGACAUUGCUCUUGCAAUAGGAGAGCACUUUGAGAAGUAUGUCCCGUAUGCUUUGCCCAUGAUGCAGGGAGCAGCUGAAAUCUGUGCCAAGAUGGAAACAGCUGAUGAGGAGAUGGUGGAUUAUGGCAACCAGCUCAGACGUAGUAUUUUUGAAGCUUAUUCGGGUAUCCUCCAAGGUUUUAAGACCGUGAAGCCUGAUGUGAUGUUGCCCUAUGCCCAACAUCUUUUGAAGUUUAUAGAAUUGGUCUCUAGAGACAAUCAAAGGUAGUUUCAUAUUCUUUAUUUCCUCUUUGGUGCACUGAUGCUUAGCCUUUGGGAUCAUCUUACUUAAAUAUUUUUCCAUGUGUUGCAGGGAUGAAAGUGUGACAAAAGCUGCGGUUGCUGUUAUGGGUGAUCUUGCAGAUGCUCUUGGAUCCAACAUAAAGCUUUUGCUUAAAGACUGCUUGUUUUAUGAUGAAUUUCUAUGUGAAUGUCUCCGAUCUGAUGAUGAGCAGUUGAAGGAGACUGCAGGUUGGACCCAGGGUAUGAUUCAACGCGUCAUGGUUUUAUGAGCUUGAAAUUUAGGGCUGAAGGUAAAAGUUGAUAUCUUGGUCUGUCCUUUUUGCUUGCUAUAAAGCUGCUGUCCAUCUAGUUCUGGUAAAGGUUUUGCAUAAGGGUCGGGAACCGAAAGGGGUUUACUGCAUGUAGCUGUGCAUUUAUUAUUUGCAGAUUCGGGUUUUGAAUUUAUCAGGGUUUUCUUAAUCCUCAUGUGAUUGGGUAGAUAAAGUUUUAAGUGAUGGCAUUGUUUGAGGCCUUUAUGUGAAGGUGGUCCAAAAAAACUUGUGAAACAGUUUUUUUUUUUUUUAAUCUAAAUGCAUCCUCUACAUCGGUGGCUUGUCGAGUUAAUUUCUCUCCCUGAUUGCUUUGGUUUAAUAUCUCAUUGAAUUGAACAAACUGGAUUGUCGUGUGAUUCUGUAAUAAAGGAUGUAUACAUACAUGAAUGAUCAUCCUAAAUAAUUCUGAGCUUGCAUGCAUGUACAAGACAACUAAUUAUAACCAUUGAAACAUGCAUCAGUGUAAGUUUGAAACAAAAAAUUCUGACCUUUUUCAAAAUUUUAAAAUUCAAAUCUCUGAUAGUAUUUUUCAUUACAAUGUAUUGAUAAAUUGAAAGAAUGAUGAUAAUAAUUUAAUUUUAAAAAAAAAAAUCCUUUUCCGGGUGAAAGAAAUAAUAGGGAUACGAUCACUGUGCUUAACGACAAGUACAAUGUAUCACAACAAAAUUUAAAUACGUAAUGAUAUUAUUACAUUUACUCAUUUUAAUAGAUUUCCCACAAAUUUAGAUUUUUUUUUUCUCUUUUUUACUAAUCAAACAUUUUAAUAUUGGGGGCGUGGAAACUGUAAACUAGUGUGCAAGUGCAACAAUAAUUCUCUCUUAGCAUAACAUAAUCAAUCUAUUCCCUUAAUUUAACCAAUAUGUAUAUAUAUCCACAAUUUAUCCAUAAAAAAAAGAACACUUUGACCAGUAAUUUAGCUUAAAGCGACCUGGUCAGAGGUCAGCUAAUUUGAUCUGCUUCAUCUUCUUUAUAUUAUAAUAUUAUACGAUGAUGAUCACAAGGAAAUUGAUUAUCCAGUGCGAAACCAAUUUACCAUGAAAAGGAAUGUAAACUUCACCCACUAAUUCUCAUUAGAAAAUUCAUAAAACAUGGAUUAAAUAGAAUUUUCCAAGAAAUAGCACCUCUAAAAACCUGCCAAGCAAGGAAGAAGACCCAACAGGGAACCUUGAUGGAAUAAUAUAUCUUUUAAAGAUUUGAUUGCAAAUUCUUUUCUUUAAUCCUUAUAUUAUUUUAUUCAUAUGCCAAAUUGUUCCUACAUGUUUAUCUACUACUUUAUAUAUACAUAUGACAAAAUUCAAAGCAAAACAAAUUUUGCUCUUAACAUCACAAAGAUGAUGCAAUCACAAGACUUUACCCCUUCAUGGCCAUUGGUGAAUUCAACUAUAGAUCAAUUAGAACCCUACGGUUUUAAUAUGGGUGUCCAUUUUGAUGCUUCUUCUUCAUUCCAUACCAGUGUGGAUUCCUUCUUCUCCAAUGAAAAUUUCCCAUUUUCACCCUAUGAUUUUGAUGAUGAUCUGCUUCGGGUCACAGUACCAUGGGAGGAUAUUUCAGCCCCCUUGGCAGGGCUUGAUUCUAUGUUGACUGAUGGGGUUGAAGAAAGUUUUCCUUUGUCCUCUCAAAGGCAAGAUAUAUGGAGUCCUUGUCCAUCUAUAAGAUCCAGCGAGGCCUCGACCGAUACGAUGCUAUCGCCACUUACUAUGCCAAUCCUAGGAGAAGAUGCCAUGGAAAUUGAUAAUCAGUUGCCCUUAUUUCAUCUGCUCAAGGCUCAUGGAGACGCUACGGAGAAGAACCAGACAGACCUUUCAGAGGUAAUCUUAAGGUGUGUGAGUGAGAAAGGUAAUCCAGUUGGUGAAACUUUGGAACGGAUUGCAUUCAAUUUAUCACAAGAUAUUCAAAACCAAAACAAUUAUUAUCUAAUGCAAGAGUCUAGCAAGAACUUUGAGGUUGCCUUCAGGACUUUCUACCAGAUAUUCCCAUAUGGAAGGUUUGCUCAUUUUGCUGCUAACUCGGCAAUCCUCGAAGCCAUACCCAACGAUGCAGAACAGCUACACAUCAUUGAUUUUGACCUUGGAGUCGGGAUCCAAUGGCCUUCAUUGAUUGAGGCCAUAGCAGGACAUUGACAACAUAAGACAUUGAGACUGACUUCAAUAAAAUGGGGAGAUGAUCACUCUCCAGGAGGUUUCAACACACAAGAAUGCUACUUUGUGACCAUGCUAGGUCCUUUGGCCUAAAAUUUAAAGUUGAAGAAAUGGGAAUCCAUGAUUUGGUGAAUGAGUUCAUGGCAAUGAAGAAACAAGGUGGUGGUACUAAAGAAUGGUUGGCAUUCAAUUGCAUGGUGGGACUCCCACACAUAGGCAAAAACAAGAGCAGGAAGCUUGUAAAUGAGUUCCUAGGCAUAGCUAAACAAUUAUUGACAAGUUGUGGUGACAAUGCAAGAACAACAAAAAGGGGAAUUAUAACGCUUGGUGAAGGAGAUGCUUGUGAGAACCUUAAAGAUGGUACAGGCUCAAGUUUUGGGGCAUAUUUUAAUGCGCAAUUGAUGCACUACCAAGCUAUUAUGGAAUCAAUGGAAUCCAACAUGGCAAAGCACCUGGUCCAAGCAAGACUGGCAAUGGAGUGUUUGUUUGUAGGGCCAAAUAUCUGUGCACAAGCUUGGUUCCAAAAAUGGAAGGAGAUGAAUGAAACAUGCUACUUCCAGGCAGGGACGACAUUGGAAGGAUUAAAGGUGAGCAGAGGUAGGGUAAUGGAAGCUAAAGAAAUGGUGAAAGAAAGGGGAAAUUCUUAUGAGGUGAGCAUUGGAGGGGAUUCUGGAAAUGAGUUAACCUUGGACUGGAGAGGAAUUACACUGGUCAAAGUUUCCUCCUGGAGAAAUUAAAGCUAAUUCUUCUUUUUAGUACUUAGAUGUAAAUUACGAAGACUAGAAGGAUUGUUUAUGUAAAAAUAGUAUAAUUAGCGAAAACAAUAGAACAAAUUUCAUUUCCAUAUUUUGUUGCUUGAUUUGUUUUAGUGAAAUUUACAAACCCCAUUUAGCUCUCCAUAUUUAUUUAUUUUUGUCAAUUUAAUCCCUAUUUUUAAUUAAAUUUGGUCACUAAUCUUUUAAAACGAAUCAAAUAUUUUUUAAUGAAAAUGUUGACUAAAUCAUUAAUAUUUUAAUGAUGUUGGAGUGCUAGCUUGCAUGAAACUCUACAUCUAUUUCAUAUGUCACGCUAAUAAUAAUUUAAACUUUAAAAAUUCAAAAAAUUUAAAAUUGAAAAAAAUAUAAAAUUGUUCAUAACGAUUCAAAAAAAAAAGCAUAAAGUAUACAUGAAUUUCCAUACAAGCUAUCAUGUUUAAAAUUUAAUAUCUUAAUAUUUGACUACUUUUAAAAGGUUGAGAGCCAAAUAUAACUAAAAAAGAAGAAUAAUGGUCAAAUUAACAAAAGAUCAAACGUUAAAGGAUUAAAUUUAUCAUUAUACCAAAAGUGGAUUAAUAAUAAAAAUAUUUCGUCGACAGCAGGAUUCGAACCUGCGCAGGCAAUGCCCAACAGAUUUCGAGUCUGUCUCCUUAACCACUCGGACAUAUCGACACUUUUGAUCUUUCACGAAUAUAUUUUAAGAAUAAUCUUUUUCACUCUUGGCUCAAAUUUGAAUAAAGGAGUACCAAAAACCUAGAGAAUGGGGGGAUUCUUGAAGACGACAGACAUAGAGUAGCUGAUAAGUAUACGCAACAGUGGCAUCUGUAGCAUCCUGGGAGUUGCCAGUCAACUGUAUUUUUUGUGAAACUAUGUAUCUUUUUGCUUUUUUAAUUCUAAAAAAUGAGUGGUGAUGGCUAUGAAUUAUGAAGCUAUCCUUUCCAAAGUUAUGUUUUUCCUGAGUUCAUGCCCAAUGAAUGAAACGGUUCAAUUUUUAACAUCCGAAAAUGGGUAGUUAAGAUCAUAGCAUUAUUUAUAAGGAUUCUCCUUGAUUCAAGUUUGUGAUUACAUAUAGUGGAUAGAGUCUUGAAAUAUAAAGGUGGUAGACAAGUUUGAAUUUGACCCACCAAAGCUGACUUCUUUUGAUGCUUGUGAUAGUAAUAAUUCCCAAUAGUCAUGACACAUGCUUCCUCUCAGUUGAGAUAUCUAACCAAAAUUUAUGUAAUAUUAUGUGUUUCUAAUGCUUCCAUCAAGCAUUAUGAGUGAUACAUGAUUUGAUGGUUGUGUUGCUUUUUUGUUGUUGAUAGUGAAUCAAAUUUCUUUUUGUUAAAAUGCCUAAAUUUGUUGGCUAACCUGGAACCUGCAUAUGAGAUUCAUUUAUAAAAUCUCCUUUGCAAGCUUGGUAAGAUUAUCAAUUAAGAGGACCCCAAUUACUUACUCUUUGUUCCAAGUGCAGAAUGGAAAUUGCAUCACAAGUAAAUCAUAAUAACAGGAUGGUUUGCCAAUUAUAAUGAUCCAACUUCAUUCUUACAUAAAAUGAUGUAAAAAGUGGUCCAUCAUAGUACAGUAUAAACUCCUGCUGCUACGGGGUUGCGCGCGGACCAAGAUCGAGUUGCAAAGUCACGAGAAACUCCUACGAAAACCCUAAACAAUUAGAUCUGAAACGAAACAGAAAAUUAAAAGAUUAGAUUUUUGAAUUUUCAGAUCUGAAAUAAAAUCCCCAAAUCAGCAAAGAAUCAAAUUGAGAAUAGAAAUAAGUAUUAGGGUUCUUGAAACCCUCAAGGAGAUUGUGAUUCUGCCCAAUUGAACACCAAGAUAGUUUUCCCCAAAUUUCGACAAUCUAAUUUCACCCAAAAAGAGUAUGGAAAAACCCUAGAAAUUGGGGAUUUUUGGGCUGAUUCCUUAAGAUAGAAAAAGGCUGAAAACACAAUAAGAACAGAAAAUAGAUUAGAUAAUGAUUCAGCACAAGUAGAAAUAAAGAAAGAAUUGACAGCAAGAAAUUAAAAGAUAAGUCCUAAGAAGCCUUGAAAUCUCGAAAGAUCUCACAACUCCCUUCAAACGGCUCUAAUCUCCCCUCCAAAGAAUAUCAAUGGCAAGAAGAAGGUUGAAGAUGGCUCCCACAAUCACAAGAUUGUUAAAACAACUUCUAAAGAAAACUCAAGAUAGAAAUCUUGGAGAAAACUCAAAGAAAAUUCUGCUCUCAACAAAUCUGAAAUUUUAAUAAUAAUGAUAAGUGUUUAACAAGGUGGACAGCCAUGCCUUUAAAUAGGCCUUAUAACUAGUCCUAAUCUAAUUAGAAAACUAAAAUAAAAAAACUCCUAAUUAUUUUAAUAUGGAAAUUCGGUCAAAGGUCAUUUUAUCUGGGACUCUUGGACUGAAUAUUGACAUAAAAAUUUAAACUAAGUAAAUAAAUAAAUAAAUAAAUAAAAAUAAAAAUAAAACUUUACAACUUGGGCCACUUUGACAAUUUGACCUGAUUUUCAACUAAGUAUGGAUGGAUUUCUUGAUUGGGCUGGGAAUUUGCUUAUUGGGCCUCGCCUUCAAGAAUUUGGGCUUUUGUGACUCCUAUCACAUGUUGUUGCUUCUAUGUUCCUCCACUGCAACAAUGAAGUCUCUGCUGAAUUUGGGAUCUUAUUUCUACAUAGCAGACUGGAGACCUUGAAAAUUUCUCUUCAGUAACUUUUAGAGAAUUAGACAGGCAGGCCCUUACCAAAUCUUUGUCUUUGUAAGCAUUGCAGACAUAGGUUAUAAAAUCUUCAUACUUCUGCACCCCCAAAGUUUUUAGAGAGUUAGAGAAAGAAACAAAGGUGCAGGUGAUGAGGAAUACAGAGAGAAGAGGGACUAACAUCAUAGAGAGGUUGAUUGUUCACUGUCACCCAGGGGACAUAUAAAUGUUUUGGAUAGAGAUGAUCAGUUUCAGUAGCAUACUGCAGUAAAAGCUGCAUUUACAUUCAAUUUGCAUUUCUUGUUACUGAUGUAUGUUUGAAAAAAAACCUACCCCAUCACAUUAAAUUAAACUCAACUACCUGCAUAUGCAUUUUGCUAGAAAAAUGUAAGGUGCUAUUAAAUGUAAAACUACAGAAAACUGUUGUGUAAUUGAUGAAUUUAGAUCUAAUUGAUUAUGAACAUCAAGUUUCAUGUUGAAGAAGCUUGCCUUUCUUCCAUAUCCACUGUCAUAGCAGUCCUUGAUGAGUUUCUGAUCCAUACCGGAUCUGGCAGAGCAGGCUUUCCACACUGCUUCCAUACCGUCAGAGUGCUGAUUAUCCUUGAUGGGAAGGCCUUGAUUUUCAAUACAGUAGAUAAAGUUGAAAUGCUUUCUCUGUGGUAUUAAAUACAGAGUUAAAUGAGGAGUAAAGGAUCCACCUACUUCUCUGUGGUAACCAAGUUCAUUUAUUUUUAAAACUUAAGCAAAUAUUGCUCUAAUUUCUGAUCAUUUUAAGGAAUCUACUUGCUUCCUUGUGCUAAAAGGAAGGGUUUUCAGGGACGAGAACAGUGACUUACCGGAUCAGGCCAGAUGCUGAUGGCGCAGGCAUGUAUAGUGUUGAGGUAACAUUCAUCUUCACCGUGCUUGAUUUACAAAAAAGAAAAAUAAAAAAAAGUAAAAGGUGUUAAAAUUACAAAGCAAUGAAACUUCUGAUUAGAUGUUAUGGAAGUAAUAGAUCUCAACCUGGCAAAUGAUGGUCUUGUUAGGUUUUACAUAUUGAGCAUUGCCCCAUGGAACUAGCCUGAGAUUGAUAAUAUUGAGAAGAUCAGUGUUGAAGACCUUCACAAGUUGACUUACAAUGAAACUCCGGCAAUAUGGACAUAGAGACUCAUAAUACAGAGACAAAUGAACCUUCUUUGGUUUGAUAUGAGAUUGAGCUUUGGUGACAUUGUUAUCUGGAGAAGAAUGAGAUUGAUAGAUAAAAAUGAAGUUUACAAGGAGAAGAAGGGAGAGUAACUUAGAAAAAGACAUUUUCUAGGGUCAUAAUAAGCUCUCAAACAUUUACAUAUAUAGUUGCUUAUGAAUGAUAUAUCUAUGCCCCACAAUUGCUUUAUUUUGUAUUAAUAGCAAUGGCUAUGGUCCCCCUAUUUAAUCUGUCGAAAUCAUUUUUUUUAAAUUUUGAAAAAUGAUGAUCGACUUUGAACAUGAAAAUUGGGGAGUCACCACCGAUCUUUUAUUAAGGUGUGAUCGGCUCACCUUAAAAACGGUUUUGGUCUACGAAUUUUGAGAAAGUAGGGUCGGGAGUCAGUUACGCAUGAGGAAGGGUUAGUACCCUCGUAACGCCCAAAAUUGGUACCGAAUCGACUGUUUAAUGUCUUAGUGUCGAAACUUUGAAAAGAUUUUGAAAUAUGUUUCUUUUAUCUUGAAUAAAAAUGAAUUAGAUAAUAAGGCUCACUUACUUUAAGGAAAUAAAUUGUCACACUUAGUAAGUUUGAGUGCAACGUUUUAAAUCCUCAAAAUUAAGUUUGACUUUUAGAAUCUGUACAUUUUGAGAAGGAUAUUCGAUUCUUUAGGUCAAAUGAGAAGAUCAAGACCCAAUAAGUUAGGGUUCGAUUUCACCAAAUUCCCGAAUAUCAAAUAUUGUCUUUAUUUUUGUUUGUUAGAAAAAUCCUCGUCUUGAGAAAACAAUACGUUAUAUCCAAUGCGUUAAGACACCACGUAUUGAAUUCUUGAGAAUGAGCUUUUUAUUUUGAAAUUUCUAUAUUCAAUUUAAAAAAGGGGUACUCGGUUAUUUAAAUUCAACAAGGAGAAUUGAAGCCCAGUAAGUUAGGGCACAAUCGACUCGAGAAUUUUGGAUACCGAGUAUUUUGAAAAUUUAAUGAUUGUAGCGCUUUAAUAAAAUACAAUUUUUUUUAAACGAGAUAGGAUUGAAUAACAAUAUAAUAUAAAAGAUAAAUAGCAACCCAAACAUAUAAUACAUCAACAUUAAAUAAUCAAAUAAACUAAUAAUCAAUCUUACAAAUAACAAAACGAGAGUAAUUAAUAUAAAAAUAAAUUAAUCACAAGUAAAUCGCCUAAAAUAAUUGGAGUGAAUAAAAUUUUGAAACACAAAAAUAAAAUUUGCACAAAUUACAAGUUAUGAUGCAUUUUAUACGCAUAUAUGUGUAUUAAUGAAUAAUAAAUUGAAUAAUAAUAUAUUAACAUUUUCCUAAAAACGUAUAAUAAAAUAAAAAAAUACUAUUGCAUGAUGAAUUAAAAUAGUAUAACCAAUAAUAUAAAAUAAUAACUUGUUAUUUUAAACAAUAAUAAUAGUAAAAUUUAAAACUAUCGAAAGCUAAAUGUUAAAAGAAUACUAAAUUUUGAUAUAUAUGUCAAAAUAGGAUUAAACAUAUUUAAAAUCUAAUAUUAAAAAUAAAAAAAAAUAAUAAUCAAAAACAAACACAGAGAACGGCACCGUUUAAAUCUGGAUCCAAGUGAAAACAAAAGCAAAUAUAUGGUACAAAUUAAAAAUAAUUGAAGAAAAUCCAAUCGAAAUUCCACAAAACCAGAGGGACUCGUCGCGAAAAUAAACCGAAGAACGAAAGCGCGCGGAUCCUUCCCUCGGGUCGGGUCACCGUGCGGAUCAGCCUUCAAACGACGCCGUUUCCUUCGUGGUUUAAAAAAAUAAAACCCUAAGUUAUUAAACAUUUUCCUAACCUAAAAGAAAAAUUAAAGAAAAGAGAGAAAAAACUCUCUCAGCGCCGUUCUGCGUUCUGGAAGCGUCCGAACGUCUCCGAUCUCAGCCCCUACUCCGAUGCCGACGGAGAGAGCCAGGAUCGGCCUCAAGGUAACUCCCCCUCCCCGAUCUCAUUUAUUUUAUAUAUAUAUGUGCUUAUAUAUGUAUUAAUAACAAAACAAAGAACAAAAGAAAGAAGAACGAUCGAAAAAAAAAACAGAAUCGCAAAGAGAGAAAAAAAGAAAACCUUUGUUGUAUUGAUAUAUUUUUUUUACAAUCUGUGUAUUCUCUGUAUCUGAGAGUGUUUUUUUUUUUACAAUAUGCGUGGGUCUUUUUUAUAGCCAGAAGAAAUAAAAAAACUGAAAAAAAUCCCCUAUUUUUACUGCUAUUUUCUUUUCUGGUAUUUCUGCUUUUUCCUUGCUCUCUCUGCUUUUGCGUUCGUUUGCUUGUCCUUUGCAGGUACGGGUACGGAGGCUCCCGUGGCACAGUGCAUGUGGGGAGAGAGGCGCACGUGAGGGGAGCGGCUCGAAGGCGCGGUUCGUGCGAGGGCAGAGCCUGCGGCGCCUAGAUCUUCUGGAAACCCUAGAAGUUUUCUGUUUCUGAUUUGGGUUUUCUGGUGUUGGGCCAUUUGGGCCGAUUUGGUUUUGGGUUAGUGUCUGGGCUAGGUUAAUUGGGUUUGGGGGUUAUUUUAUUUGUAAUGGACUAUGGAUUUUUGUUUACUUUGGGCUCCGGGCAAAAUUUGGGCCCUACAUAAUCUUUAGUAUCUAUCUUCAUACAGCCAUAAACCAAGGUUUCUGUUGUGACAAUUUGCACAGGCUUUGCCUGGAAGCAGCCAUAUUUUCAAGUAAAACUUAUUCAAACAAAACAAACAAAAGGAUGUUGAUCUUUCAUUCAUAGAAUAGAAGACACUGUAAACAUAUCACAUGUAACAUGUCAUAUAUGUAAAAGAUAUCAACAAUAAUGAUAACUAGAAGCUGGUUUUAUUACAUGCAGUUGGUGAAUUGUGAAGCAGCUGUAAUGGACAAAGCACAAGUUCUGGCCUCUUUCAAGGUUCUAUCCCAAGUUUGCAAUUUCACUAGCAUAGCAUCCUGGAUGUAUUCUGUUUGCCAUCUUAUCAUGGGUUGAGCUGACAUUGGCUACUUGUGUUUUGCAUGCUUCUGGUUUAUUGUCACCUUUAUAAGCUUCACAGACAUAUUUCACAAAAUUUUCAAAGUCCUGCACCAUGAUAUAAAAUUAUUGAAGUUACUUGUCCACAAAUAUGUUACUUCACAAUCACACAAAGAGACAGAAACUCACAUCUUUGAGUGGCUGAUUAUCCACCACCACCCAUGGCACAUACUCAUGAGGUGGCUUUAGCUUUGCAGUCUCAUUAGCAUAUUGUAGCAGAAGCUUAAGUCCAUAUCCAGAAGUAUAGCAUUUGUUGAUUCUGUGAGCACUCAUUCCCAGCUUUUCACUGCAUUGUUUCCACAUUGCUGCUCUGUUCUUGACCAGCGGUUUCUUUGAGCUUUGUUGCUCUGUGCAGCGAAUGAAAUCAAAGUGCUUUUUCUGCAACACAAUACACUAAUUGAACACAAAGAUGAAUCGGAAUCUGAAUCCAAAUCCAAAUAGGCUAAUAUGGUUUACCACAUCAGGCCAGUGGUAGAUGACACAGCUAUGUAUGGUAUUUAAGUAGCAUUCAUCUUCUCCAUGCUGCACAUUGUUGCGAGGCAUAAACAUGAAAAAUAUACAUUAAUCAAGAAAAUAUACAUUCAAAUGAAGAAUGGAAUUCGAACCUGGCAAUGGGGUUCAUCGCCAAGAAUGUCAGCAUUGCCCCAAGGGACUAACUUUAGAUUGACAAUGGUAAACAGAUCGCUGAGGAAUACCUUUACAAGGUCAUUUGUGAUAAAGUCGGCACAAUAUGGGCAUAAAGUUUCAUAGUACAGGGCCAAAGUGAC
This 42231-nucleotide long non-coding RNA is filed under the name Gossypium barbadense (sea-island cotton). RNAcentral describes it as "long non-coding RNA (GBAR_LNC015750)". The record is from RNAcentral. Lineage: Eukaryota; Viridiplantae; Streptophyta; Magnoliopsida; Malvales; Malvaceae.